GGCCAGCUACCUCAGCUGGUUAGAGGGUGGUACUAAUAAUGCCAAGGUUGUGGGUUCAAGCCCCAUGCUGGCCA
This is a non-coding RNA of Emys orbicularis (European pond turtle), 74 nucleotides long. NCBI's taxonomy places the organism in Eukaryota, Metazoa, Chordata, Testudines, Emydidae. The record is from the annotation of a RefSeq genome assembly.